CCCGGUCCGCGUCCCUUCGACACAGCGUGAGCCCGGGGCCUCUGUUCGUCCUCGUUGGCAACCUGGAGAGACUAGGCGCUCAGUUCAAUCACUGACUCACGUUGAUGCGCUGGACCGAGCCUGUGUCCAGCAGAAGGGCACCUCGCGAGGGCUGGCGGGUCCAAGCAUGCGGAGCCGGCCUCUCCUCUCAGCGGCACCACCAAUGCUCUCCCAGAGUCCGGAGCAGCCCUGAGCACUUCACAUGCGUAUCAUUUAAUGCUCACAAGACCUACCAUCUGCUCAUUUUCAGAUUGUCUUCACAGGGGUGAUGGAGAACGGCUGUGGGAAGCAUCAAGCGGCUGUGGCUGAUUCAGUUGAUGCCGUGACUCAAAGUGAGCCCCGAGCCACGCUGGAGAAAUCACUCCUGGAAAAGCAGGCACUUUGAGUUCAUCAUAUCGACCCUGCACCCAGCACUGUGGAGAGUGUCAGAGGCUCAAUAAACAUGAACUUCCUGUGGA
Molecule: long non-coding RNA, 497 nt
Organism: Eptesicus fuscus (big brown bat)
Lineage: Eukaryota; Metazoa; Chordata; Mammalia; Chiroptera; Vespertilionidae
Exons: 3
Source: RefSeq, a predicted model, not a curated record